This 497-nucleotide ribosomal RNA is filed under the name uncultured bacterium. Its description in RNAcentral is "partial 16S ribosomal RNA". It matches the Rfam family "Bacterial small subunit ribosomal RNA", at positions 28 to 507 of the family's 1533-position model. The record is from RNAcentral.
GAUGAACGCUGGCGGCGUGCCUAAUACAUGCAAGUCGAGCGAACAGACGAGGAGCUUGCUCCUCUGACGUUAGCGGCGGACGGGUGAGUAACACGUGGAUAACCUACCUAUAAGACUGGGAUAACUUCGGGAAACCGGAGCUAAUACCGGAUAAUAUAUUGAACCGCAUGGUUCAAUAGUGAAAGACGGUUUUGCUGUCACUUAUAGAUGGAUCCGCGCCGCAUUAGCUAGUUGGUAAGGUAACGGCUUACCAAGGCAACGAUGCGUAGCCGACCUGAGAGAGUGAUCGGCCACACUGGAACUGAGACACGGUCCAGACUCCUACUGGAGGCAGCAGUAGGGAAUCUUCCGCAAUGGGCGAAAGCUUGACGGAGCAACGCCGCGUGAGUGAUGAAGGUCUUCUGAUCGUAAAACUCUGUUAUUAGGGAAGAACAAAUGUGUAAGUAACUAUGCACGUCUUGACGGUACCUAAUCAGAAAGCCACGGCUAACUACGUG